AUGAAGCCGCUGCCUACUCCGCCCGCCUCCUCCUGCUGCUCCUCCCCAGAUCCCUACUCCCACCACCGUCGACUCCCUCCGCCGCCCCAGCCUCGCCGCGCCGCCUUCCCCCCACCCGCCCCGCGCCCGUUCGCCGGACUUCUCCGCGCCGCCCGAGCGCGCUGCUCGCCGUCGCCGUCGGCCACCACCGGGCCUGCCGUCGAGCGGUCCCAGCGCAGCAGGAUGGCCGCCUCAGGUACUGAGCAUGCCUACAGCAAUAUUUUGACCAGCCUACCUAAGCCCGAGGGUGGUGAAUACGGGAAAUUCUACAGCCUUCCCGCACUAAAUGACCCAAGGAUCGAUAAGCUGCCCUACUCUAUCCGUAUUCUUCUGGAGUCAGCUAUCCGUAACUGUGAUGGCUUCCAAGUUACCAAGAAUGAUGUCGAGAAAAUCAUUGACUGGGAGAACACAUCUCCGAAGCUGGCUGAGAUACCUUUCAAGCCAGCACGAGUUCUGCUCCAGGACUUCACUGGAGUCCCAGCAGUUGUUGAUCUUGCAGCUAUGCGUGAUGCGUUGGCCAAGUUGGGCAGCGAUGCAAACAAGAUCAAUCCAUUGGUUCCGGUGGAUCUUGUUAUUGACCACUCGGUGCAGGUGGAUGUAGCAAGGUCGACCAAUGCAUUGCAGUCGAACAUGGAGCUGGAAUUUACCCGCAACAGAGAAAGAUUUGGUUUUCUUAAAUGGGGCUCAACUGCUUUCCACAACAUGCUGGUUGUCCCCCCGGGUUCUGGUAUUGUUCACCAGGUCAAUCUUGAGUAUCUUGGCAGAGUUGUUUUCAACACAGAUGGCAUCAUGUACCCUGACAGCGUUGUUGGCACUGAUUCACACACCACUAUGAUUGAUGGUUUGGGUGUUGCUGGCUGGGGAGUUGGUGGUAUUGAAGCAGAGGCUACAAUGCUUGGGCAGCCGAUGAGCAUGGUGUUGCCUGGUGUGGUUGGGUUCAAGUUGACUGGAAAGCUAAGGAAUGGUGUCACUGCUACCGACCUUGUUCUUACUGUUACCCAAAUGCUAAGGAAGCAUGGUGUUGUUGGCAAAUUUGUCGAAUUCCAUGGUGAAGGUAUGGGCAAACUGUCUUUGGCUGACAGGGCCACCAUUGCUAACAUGUCACCAGAAUAUGGAGCUACCAUGGGCUUCUUCCCUGUAGACCAUGUCACAUUGGAUUAUCUCAGAUUGACUGGCCGAAGCGAUGAAACUGUGUCAAUGAUCGAAGCAUAUCUCCGAGCUAAUAAUAUGUUUGUGGACUAUAAUGAGCCUCAAGCAGAAAGAGUUUACUCUUCAUAUCUUGCGCUGGACCUUGAUGAGGUAGAGCCUUGCAUUUCUGGCCCGAAGAGGCCGCAUGACCGUGUCACUUUGAAGGACAUGAAAUCAGAUUGGCAUGCUUGCCUGGACAACAAAGUUGGUUUCAAGGGUUUUGCGGUGCCGAAGGAACAACAGGAUAAGGUUGUGAAAUUUGACUUUAAUGGACAACCUGCUGAACUGAAGCAUGGCAGUGUUGUUAUAGCAGCAAUUACUAGUUGCACAAACACAUCAAACCCCAGUGUUAUGCUUGGUGCUGCCCUUGUCGCAAAGAAAGCUUGCGAAUUGGGUCUCGAGGUCAAACCAUGGGUAAAGACAAGCCUUGCCCCUGGAUCUGGGGUUGUCACUAAAUACUUGCUAAAGAGUGGCCUUCAAGAAUAUUUCAACAAGCAAGGAUUCCAUCUUGUUGGAUAUGGGUGUACCACUUGCAUUGGCAAUUCUGGUGAACUCCAUGAAUCUGUGUCAGCUGCCAUCACAGAAAAUGAUGUUGUUGCUGCUGCUGUGUUGUCGGGCAACCGUAACUUUGAGGGGCGUGUGCACCCUUUGACUCGGGCCAAUUACCUUGCUUCACCACCUCUGGUUGUUGCAUAUGCACUUGCUGGCACUGUUGACAUUGAUUUUGAGAAGGAACCCAUUGGAGUUGGAAAGGAUGGCAAGGAAGUUUUCUUCAGGGAUAUAUGGCCCACAACUGAAGAAAUCGCAGAGGUUGUACAAUCCAGUGUGCUGCCUGACAUGUUCAAGAGCACAUACGAGGCCAUCACAAAAGGCAACCCAAUGUGGAACGAGCUUCCUGUCCCAGAAGCAUCGCUCUACUCAUGGGAUUCAAACUCCAGUUACAUCCACGAACCUCCCUACUUCAAGGACAUGACAAUGUCCCCGCCCGGCCCACACGCGGUGAAGAACGCCUACUGCUUACUCAACUUUGGAGACAGCAUUACCACGGAUCAUAUUUCACCCGCAGGCAGCAUUCACAGAGACAGUCCUGCUGCCAAGUAUUUGCUUGAGCGUGGCGUGGACCGGAAAGACUUCAACUCAUAUGGUAGCCGGCGCGGUAACGAUGAGGUGAUGGCAAGAGGAACAUUUGCAAACAUCAGGAUUGUGAACAAGUUUUUGGGUGGAGAGGUUGGGCCCAAGACUAUUCAUGUGCCCACAGGGGAGAAGCUCUCUGUUUUCGACGCGGCCACGAAAUACAAGUCUGAAGGUCAUGAUACUAUCAUUCUUGCUGGCGCCGAGUAUGGGAGUGGCAGCUCUCGUGAUUGGGCUGCCAAGGGACCAAUGCUUCUCGGUGUGAAAGCGGUGAUUGCCAAGAGCUUUGAGCGGAUCCACCGAAGCAACUUGGUCGGGAUGGGGAUCAUCCCGAUGUGCUUCAAAGCUGGCGAGGAUGCCGACUCACUCGGCCUUACUGGACAUGAGCGAUACACCAUUAACCUUCCGACCGAUGUCAGCAAGAUCCGUCCUGGCCAGGAUGUGACCAUCACCACGGACAACGAUAAAUCCUUCACUUGCAUACUUCGCUUUGACACAGAGGUGGAGUUGGCCUACUACAACCAUGGAGGCAUCCUGCCCUAUGUAAUCCGCAACAUGGCAGGAGCUCAGAACUAA
This 2934-nucleotide ribosomal RNA is filed under the name Triticum aestivum (bread wheat). RNAcentral's name for it is "partial small subunit ribosomal RNA". Lineage: Eukaryota; Viridiplantae; Streptophyta; Magnoliopsida; Poales; Poaceae. The record is from RNAcentral.